CCUACGGGAGGCAGCAGUGAGGAAUAUUGGUCAAUGGACGCGAGCCUGAACCAGCCAAGUCGCGUGCAGGAUGACUGCCCUAUGGGUUGUAAACUUCUUUUAUAAAAGAAUAAAGUCAGGUACGUGUGCCUUUUUGUAUGUACUUUAUGAAUAAGGAUCGGCUAACUCCGUGCCAGCAGCCGCGGUAAUACGGAGGAUCCGAGCGUUAUCCGGAUUUAUUGGGUUUAAGGGGAGCGUAGAUGGGUUGUUAAGUCAGUUGUGAAAGUUUGGGGCUCAACCGUAAAAUUGCCAUUGAUACGGGCAGUCAUGAGGAAAGUUGAGGUAGGCGGAAUUCGGGGUGUAGCGGUGAAAUGCUUAGAUAUCACGAAGAACCCCGAUUGCGAAGGCAGCUUACUAGACUGUGACUGACAUUGAGGCUCGAAAGUGUGGGUAUCAAACAGGAUUAGAAACCCCGUAGUC
RNAcentral lists this ribosomal RNA (459 nucleotides) under uncultured bacterium. RNAcentral's name for it is "partial 16S ribosomal RNA". It matches the Rfam family "Bacterial small subunit ribosomal RNA", at positions 338 to 795 of the family's 1533-position model. The record is from RNAcentral.